AGUGAACGCUGGCGGUAGGCCUAACACAUGCAAGUCGAACGGCAGCACAGAGGAGCUUGCUCCUUGGGUGGCGAGUGGCGGACGGGUGAGGAAUACAUCGGAAUCUACUCUGUCGUGGGGGAUAACGUAGGGAAACUUACGCCAAUACCGCAUACGACCUACGGGUGAAAGCAGGGGAUCUUCGGACCUUGCGCGAUUGAAUGAGCCGAUGUCGGAUUAGCUAGUUGGCGGGGUAAAGGCCCACCAAGGCGACGAUCCGUAGCUGGUCUGAGAGGAUGAUCAGCCACACUGGAGCGGAGACUCGGUCCAGACUCCUACGGGAGGAAGCAGUGGGGAAUAUUGGACAAUGGGCGCAAGCCUGAUCCAGACAUACCGCGUGGGUGAAGAAGGCCUUCGGGUUGUAAGGCCCUUUUGUUGGGAAAGAAAUCCAGCUGGUUAAUACCCGGUUGGGAUGACGGUACCCAAAGAAUAAGCACCGGCUAACUUCGUGCCAGCCGCCGCCGUAA
RNAcentral lists this ribosomal RNA (506 nucleotides) under uncultured bacterium. RNAcentral's name for it is "partial 16S ribosomal RNA". It matches the Rfam family "Bacterial small subunit ribosomal RNA", at positions 29 to 523 of the family's 1533-position model. The record is from RNAcentral.